Molecule: ribosomal RNA, 229 nt
Filed under: uncultured bacterium
Lineage: Bacteria
Description: partial 16S ribosomal RNA
Rfam family: Bacterial small subunit ribosomal RNA
Source: RNAcentral
UGCGUAGGCGGAUUAAUAAGUCAGUGGUGAAAACCUGCAGCUUAACUGUAGAACUGCCAUUGAUACUGUUAGUCUUGAGUACGGUCAAGGUAGGCGGAAUGUGCAAUGUAGCGGUGAAAUGCUUAGAUAUUACACAGAACACCGAUUGCGAAGGCAGCUUACUGGACCAUUACUGACGCUGAGGCACGAAAGCGUGGGGAGCGAACAGGAUUAGAUACCCUGGUAGUCC